This 274-nucleotide ribosomal RNA is filed under the name uncultured bacterium. RNAcentral's name for it is "partial 16S ribosomal RNA". It matches the Rfam family "Bacterial small subunit ribosomal RNA", at positions 523 to 796 of the family's 1533-position model. The record is from RNAcentral.
AUACGAAGGGUGCGAGCGUUAAUGGGAAUUACUGGGCGUAAAGCGCGCGUAGGCGGUUGGAUAAGUCGGAUGUGAAAGCCCCGGGCUCAACCUGGGAAUUGCAUUCGAAACUGUCCGGCUAGAGUAUCGUAGAGGGAAGCGGAAUUCCACAUGUAGCGGUGAAAUGCGUAGAUAUGUGGAGGAACACCAGUGGCGAAGGCGGCUUCCUGGACCAAUACUGACGCUGAGGUGCGAAAGCGUGGGGAGCAAACAGGAUUAGAAACCCUAGUAGUCC